GCUUUGCCAUCAGUGGUGUGAGGAGCAGGCCGGGGCAGUGGGCAAUUGAGCGAGGAACAGCUGCGGGAGGACUCCGCGGACUCCUGAGAACCAGCUUAGGGGAGCGGCGGCUUGGGGAGGUGUAGGGUGGAAUCACGAGAAAGCUCUGUGGGAGGGCCUGGUGCACAGCUCAGCUGCAGGGUGGAGCUGAGGGAAAGCCGGGCGUUCCUGGAGGAGGAGCAGGGCGAGGCUGUGGCAAAGCGCUGUGGGAGCAGAUGGGGCGGGGCUGCGGGAAAGAGCUGGAGAAGGAGGAGCCAAGCUGCACCAAGGCUGGCGGGUGAGAAUUGCGGGGGAGGAGCUAGUGCAGAGCUGGAGGAAAGAGCUGAAAGGUUGUUGGGGUGGGCAGAGGGGUAGGAGAAGCGAGACGGGGCUAGAGGAGGCGGAGCUGGGAGCGGUGAUGAAGGGGUAGCAGGGCGGGGCAGUGGGAAAGAGCUGUGGGAGGAGGAGCUGGGGGUAAGAAGCUGGGGCUGUGGCUGCAGCGGGGACUGGGUCAGAGCUUCUGGAGGAGCCGCCUGCAAGAGGAGGGCGUAGUUGUGGGAAAGAGCUGUGGGCGGAAAUGGUUAAGUGCCGGGUGGAGCAGGGGCUGGCGUCGGAAUAGCUGGGGCGGAGCUGCGGGAGGAGGAGCUGGGGGGCGGAACUGUGGGAGGAACAGCUGGGGCGGAGCUGAGGGAGGAGGAGCAGGGGGGCAGAACAGCUGGGGUGGAGCUGUGGGCGGAGCUGCAAGAGGAGAAGUUGGGGACGGACUUGCAGGAGGAAAAGCUAGGGGUGGAGCUGUGGGUGGAGUUGGGGGAGGGAGCUGAGGCCCUUCUGUGAUGCACCCUUAGGCAAGAGUCCAAACUUUCCCGCGGCGACCUAACUGCACCUCCAGUGUCUUCCCCCAGAGGGCACAGAAGCAGCAAGAAGGGCGGGAACACUUGACUGGGGUCCAUGCAGCUCUAGGCUGAGUCUUGCAGGGCUGAGCCCCCCAGGCCUGCUCUCCUGUGUCCUGGCCGCUCCGUCAGUGCCUGCCAGUGGGGUCCAGAGGGACCGUUUUUUUAACGCCUCUUUUGCAGUCUCCCGCAUUGACUUCAUAACCAAGUUCUGGGUCCCUGCCUCUGGAGUGCCUGAUGAGACAAAACGGCUCCUCGUCCUGCAUCCCCGCUGCUACUUCCAGAAUUCAGGCCUCGUGGUCUGGAGCCUGCACUGUUCCAUGAGCCUCCUGAGCAACCUGGAGUCCUCUGUCUUUCUUCCCUCAGUGAGAUGCGCCUACUUCUCCCUGGAGAAGCUUGAGGAAGCAGAAAUGCUGGAGAUGAGACGGAGUUUUGCUCUUGUUGCCCAGGCUGGUGCAAUCUCGGCUCACCACUACCUCUGCCUUCUGGGCUCAAGCGAUUCUCCUUCCUCAGCCUCCUGAGUGCUGGGAUUACAGAGACCUCGUCCGCACAGGGGCUUGUUCUUCUGUGUCUUUGCAGGGCUGUUUUGGACUCAGUAUUCACCUAAGCACUCCAAAUUGUAAGUAACCCCAGAGAUCAUGGAGUGUCCCACUGCCCCUCCAUCUGAAGGCUGUGACCUCUCCCCCAAGGAGGAGGUGCUCGCAUGCGUCCAGUGCCCUGCCCAUUAGAUUAGGGAGGGUUCCCUUUUUUGCUCUCUUGCACUCAUUUGUCCGCCUUUUAGCUUUCCUUUUCUGCCCUGACUCUCACAGGGUCGUGCGGAUGUGCGAUGUAGGAGGAGGAGAGAGGUAAAGUGGAGGAAUAGGAGCUGGAGGGGAGGAGGAGAGAAGAAAAGAGGAGAAGGAGGGGGAAGAGAGGGAGCGGGUUCAAGGAGGGAAGGAGGAGGAGAAGGAGAGGAGGAGGAGAUGAGACCAAGGAGAAGAGGUGAAGGAGGAGAGGAGGACACAGAAAAGAGAAGAAAGAGGAGAGGAGACGGAGAAGAGGAGGAGGAGUAACAAAGGAGGAAGAAGAGGAAGAGGACUAGAAGAGCAAGUAAGGAGGAGGAGGGGGGAGUAGGAGGAGAGGAGAAGGACAGAAGGGGAAGGAGAGGCAGAUGUGGAGGAGAGGAGGUGGAGGACAGGAGGGGAUGAGAAAGAGGAGGAGAAAAGGAGAGGAGAGGGAUGAGGGGGGAGGAGGAAGAGAAAAGAACAGGAGGAGAAGAGGAGGAGAAAAGGAGGAGGAGUGAAAGAAAAGAGGAGAAGGAGAGGAGGGGGGGAGGACGGGGAGGAAGGGAGAAGGAGAGAAAUAGGAGGAGGGAGGAAAGGAGGAGAGGACGAGAGGAGGAGCAGAGGAGGAGGAGGAGAGGAAGGGGAGGAGAUUUGGAGGAAGAGGGGAGGUGGAAGAAGAAAGGAGAAGGCGGAGAAGAGGAGAAAGCAGAGAGGAGGAGGCUGAAGAAAGGAGGACCAGGAGGAGAGGACGAGGAGGAAAGGAGGAAGAGGAAGAGUGGAAUAAGAGGAGCAGAGGAAAAGGAGGAGGGGGUUGGGGAGGAGUGGAGAGGAGAGGAGGAGGAACAGAGUUGGAGGAGGUGAAAGAGAAAAGAGGAGAAGGAGGAGAGGAAGAGAGAAGGAAAUGAGAAGGAGAAAAGUAGGAAGAAGAAGAGAGAAGAGGAGAGGAUGAGGAGGAGGAGAGGAGAAGGAGAGCAGGAGGUGGGAGGAGGAGGAGAGUAAGAGGAGGAAAUGAGGAGGAAGAAAGGAGGACAGAAGGUGGAGAGGAGGAGGAGAGGAGGAGAAGGAAACGAGGAGGAGGACGAGGCUGCACCACCCUUAUCAGGUUCCAGUUCUCGGUGCGCCCCGUUCUGCAAGACACUCUCCUGUGGUCAGCCCUGGUCUGCAGAGGAUUCCCGCGCUGGAUCUCUGAAGGAUGCUGGCGCCCUCUCUGCAGCACAUUCCUGAUGCCCUUGCUGACACGUGUCCUCUGGGCCCUCUCCUGAAACCUGAUUCUCCGGGGUGUCUUCUGGCCUCACCUCUUCUGUCCAGUUCCAGCAAGCUCACUUUGCUUAGCCUUUGAAUCCCUUCCUUCACUGUCUGCCAUGACAGUUCAGGCCUUUCACCGUCACUCAGGCCUGGACCAUCACUGUUGCCCAUCCCAUGCCAUCAACAGGUUUGCCCCAUCCCUUCGGCUCCCUACCAGGGCAUUCAGUUGUGUUGAGCAGCAGAGUGUCUCCAAGUCCCCACUGGUUGAGCUGCAUCCGGGUCCCAUCCCACAGGGACCCCCUGGCCGCUGCAGAUGCAUGCUGAUCCUGCAGCUCCUCGAGGGUGUCAUCGCUUUCCCCCUUCCCAGACCCAGCACACCCUGCCUGCAUGGCGCUGCGCUGCACCUUCACUCUGGUCACGGGUCUGGCAGUCAGCUCACCAAUUCCUCCUGCUUCCCUGGGACUUGCCGGCUUUUAGCACUGCAAUUCACUCAGCAAACUGGGACUGUUGGUCACCCUACCUGGCAGCCAGUGAUAAGGUGAGGGCCACUCCUGGGAGGGAGGACACCUGUGGGGAAAAUUCUUGUGUUAUUUAUUUCUCCUUCGGGAUAGGGUGCCUGCAGCGCUUCAUGGGAGGGGGUGGGCUGAUGCUGCGGGCUCAGAAGUUUCAAGGGCAUCUGGGGAGACCAGAUAUUCAGAGACCUUCUAGAUGUGCCUGUUCCAUGUAUCAGGGACGCAGGUUUUCCCAACAGGGCUGGUGUCAUUGGCAUGACAGACCUGCCUUGGCUGAGCGUUCACCUGUCUUUGGAGUUCAGCCACCUUAGCAAGUCCUGGGUUUGUUCUUCAGACUUUGCUGCUCGCCCAUUGCCUGGAUCGGGGGCUACUUUGUAAACCACCAGGAAGACUCCAGUGUUUCUGGUUAAUUUUUAGAUGUUUGUUAAUUGCUCUUGGUCUCUCAUUAAUCCCCUGUGGGUCAUCCAGGAAACAUACUCACCACUGUCUGUUCUCUGAGUUUUCAUUUCCAGGCAUCCGCCCUGCCUGGAUCUCCUCACCUGCCAGGAACUUCCUCUCCACAAGCCGGCCAUCCCAGCAAAAGUUCUAACACCAAAGGUCUGGCAACUAGCCUGCCAUCUUGUGCCUGGAGCCGCCUGCGUGCCACCUACUCCCGAAGAUGGGAACCUUGUUGCCAGUUGGGCAGAUGCGGGGCAAUCCUGUACCAAGACCCCAUUUUACCACCUGCUUUCUCAGACCACUCUGGAACCCACUGUCUCAGAUUGUGUCCUCCAGGAAGCAGACCAUGAGAGGGAGUUGGCAGGGCCAAAGAUUUACUGGGGCUAACUAACACUCAGGAAAGGGAUAGGAAGGAAACAGGGCUGGAGAGCAGGUUGAGCCCGACCUGACAGUCUCGAGCAGCCCAACAGGGAGGUGUGGAGCAAGGGUUGCCCACUAGAGGGGCCUGCAUUGGGUACGGGUGAUGGGGUCCACAUGGUACCUGGCAUAUAGCAGGCUGUGCAAUCCAUAUUAACUGACUGGAUAAAUUAAUGCCCAGAAAAGGUGCCCUGGAGAAUGGGUGUGUGCUGAACACAAUAGGGAAGGGCCCAGCAUCUGCCUUGGCAUAGGCAGAACUGUGCUGUGCCCUGCAACAGGCCACCUGAGAGCUGCUUUGAUCUUGUGUGUACAUUAGAUGACUGCCAGGGGCAUGAAGGGGAUGUGCUUCCAGGGCAUUUGCUGGCAGGGCGUCUCGUGAUCUCUUGGUAUUGGUGUGAGCACAGCCUGGCAGGAGAGGGCAGAUCUCCAUGCAAAGUAUGUCAGAAAGCAGAUGGAAGCCAGGCCCCCUCCUGAAAGAGGCUCCUUGAAGGCUCCUGGGACCACAUUAUCAUUCUCUUCACUCGAGAGAUGAGGACACUGAAAUUCAGAGAGGGGAAGUGAUUUGCCUCAGCUUGUACUAAAGAAACAUUUCAACAGAGAACCCAGUGGAAAUUAUGACAUGUUAUCUUCUCAGAGUCCUGAACUCCCAUCCCUACCUCAGAAGAGACUCCUCUGUUCACAGAAGCUAAAGGCAGUUCCUUCCCAAUGGCAACUAUGUUUGGAUGUUGGAUCUACACUUUCUCAAGCACUGUGAUCUUCAAAUCAAAGGAGAUUUCUCCCAUUAUAUACUUCUUAUGAUCAACAAAUUCCAUCAUCUCCCCACUAAGAGAAAGUACUCCAAGAUGAUAGAAUGAUUUUAAAGUUAUGGGACUACAACAGCAGCCACAGGAACCUUGAACUGCCAUCCAGGGCCAUGCAGCAAACAAGCAACAGGGAAAUAUCCCACUAUGCAAUCCUAUUUUGAGAUGAUAUUUAGGAUGAGAGAACAUGCAUUAGUUACCUACCAGCUUGACAGGAAUGGAUUUCCAAAUCUGACACACCAUAGCCUGAAUUCUCACCAGUUUGCUCCUGGAAAGGCCCGCUCAUGCAUGAGCCCCUGCCACUCUUCUAAAUAAGCUUCCAGGCAUUACCUGCAUGCUGUGUUCCUGUGGUGGGAUGGCAGUAAUCUCUGCUAAGAUAAACGGGAGCUUCUGUGGAUAAAGCAUAAACGCAGUGAAGUGUGUGUGGCUGGAAGAUUUAAUGCCUCUACAGUGCUUAGAUACAAGUUGAGCUUGGAAUUCCAGAGGUAGAGCACUGCUGAUUGGAGACAUAUUAAGUAAAAUGUACUGUGGAAAUGAGAUAAAACCUUUAUUCUUGCUAAUGAUUGUCAUUGUAUGUAUUCAGGUGUCCAACAAAGGAUUUUAGAAUAAAGUGUGCCUUUAAAGUUUCCCACCUUCUUAAAGCUCCCAAUGAAUUGCAAAGGGCCUGUUUGGAAUGGACUGUAUUAAAUCUACUUCAAAUGAAAACCUUUACACUGAGUGAAAUAUGGUUCAACAAUUCUUAACACAAGGCCUUUACACUUGUGUAGCCCAUUUUGGUUUGGCCUAUCUUGUCACUAGAAUGCUGUCUGAGCUUGGAUUAUUUAUGCCCUAAGAUUUACUUAAAAUUGAAGGGAGUAUUUCCAUUCAUCAACACUAGUUUUGAUAGAUGCUUAAAAGGUGCAGUGAGGUUGAUGAUCCUGAAUACACAAAUUAUUGAUCACCACAUCAAGUUGGAUUUCCCUAAAGAUGUAUGGCUUUCUGACCUUGUGAUUUACACUAAUGAUUAUGUCUUAAUAAAAGUAAUAAAGCU
RNAcentral lists this long non-coding RNA (6114 nucleotides) under Homo sapiens (human). RNAcentral's name for it is "non-protein coding LINC00894:46". The record is from RNAcentral. Lineage: Eukaryota; Metazoa; Chordata; Mammalia; Primates; Hominidae.